UCCGCGACACAUUGUACCGAAUCGCGUAUUUACCAAGAGAGUGAGAGUGUAAACAGAAUCUUCAAUUAGGAUGCUGUGCACGAGAGGCACAGUCUGGACUUGGUUAUUUAUUUAUACGGAAAAAAUUCCGGUUUAUCAGAGUGACGUCACAGAUAAUUAACAUUUCUUGUUAUUUAAUAGUGACACUGGACGGAAUGGUUAUUUGCUUAUAUUUGGAUAGGAAAAGCGUCAUUUGGGUGAGUCAUUUGAAUCGUUUAUGAUAUCUUAGCUAGGGUUGCAGUCAAGUGUUACUUUGGAGCAAAGAACACUUGGGAUUAGAUAAAAAACUUGCUCCUAACCGAUGUGAGGGAUUUCAACCAGAGAGAACAUGAUACUCGCCCGCAAGUGAUCAUUGGCUUGUGAAGAUUUAAUUGGAAUCCAAUACUAAAUUUCUUUGCCGUGUCAAUUAGCACCCAACUCGAAGCAGUCGAAAUACAUGCUUAGCUGAUUCUGCAACCUUGGAAAACCCGAUUCACACACGUAUCACACUUGAAGUGGUCAUUUCUGCAUGGGAGUCUCUGGGCAGUGGCAUAGCGAGAGGUAGGCCAACUCGUAAUGCGGAAUGCCGUUCAAUAAAUUGAUCAUUAUGAAAUCAUGUACGAGUGGUCGCAGAAAUGCAGACACCAAUGCCUAAGGGACCAUAAAUGAACCGCAUUUAUCGAGUAUAAUAAAAAUGUAAGCAAAAUCUCUUUUAAUUAUUAAAUUACGACAAUAAUAA
Long non-coding RNA from Hermetia illucens (black soldier fly), 757 nucleotides. RefSeq lists it as uncharacterized. NCBI's taxonomy places the organism in Eukaryota, Metazoa, Arthropoda, Insecta, Diptera, Stratiomyidae. The transcript has 2 exons. The record is from RefSeq and is a predicted model, not a curated record.